UCUCUGUUAGUGUAUCGGUUAGUACACGCGCCUGUCAUUCCAAACGACCGCGCGAAAGCGGGGUUCGACUCCCCGACAGAGAG
This 83-nucleotide transfer RNA is filed under the name Trametes sanguinea. RNAcentral describes it as "tRNA-Asp". It matches the Rfam family "tRNA". Rfam says of the family: Transfer RNA (tRNA) molecules are approximately 80 nucleotides in length. Their secondary structure includes four short double-helical elements and three loops (D, anti-codon, and T loops). Lineage: Eukaryota; Fungi; Basidiomycota; Agaricomycetes; Polyporales; Polyporaceae. The record is from RNAcentral.